GUUAAGCGACUAAGCGUACACGGUGGAUGCCCUGGCAGUCAGAGGCGAUGAAGGACGUGCUAAUCUGCGAUAAGCGUCGGUAAGGUGAUAUGAACCGUUAUAACCGGCGAUUUCCGAAUGGGGAAACCCAGUGUGAUUCGUCACACUAUCAUUAACUGAAUCCAUAGGUUAAUGAGGCGAACCGGGGGAACUGAAACAUCUAAGUACCCCGAGGAAAAGAAAUCAACCGAGAUUCCCCCAGUAGCGGCGAGCGAACGGGGAGCAGCCCAGAGCCUGAAUCAGUGUGUGUGUUAGUGGAAGCGUCUGGAAAGGCGCGCGAUACAGGGUGACAGCCCCGUACACAAAAAUGCACAUGCUGUGAGCUCGAUGAGUAGGGCGGGACACGUGGUAUCCUGUCUGAAUAUGGGGGGACCAUCCUCCAAGGCUAAAUACUCCUGACUGACCGAUAGUGAACCAGUACCGUGAGGGAAAGGCGAAAAGAACCCCGGCGAGGGGAGUGAAAAAGAACCUGAAACCGUGUACGUACAAGCAGUGGGAGCACGCUUAGGCGUGUGACUGCGUACCUUUUGUAUAAUGGGUCAGCGACUUAUAUUCUGUAGCAAGGUUAACCGAAUAGGGGAGCCGAAGGGAAACCGAGUCUUAACUGGGCGUUAAGUUGCAGGGUAUAGACCCGAAACCCGGUGAUCUAGCCAUGGGCAGGUUGAAGGUUGGGUAACACUAACUGGAGGACCGAACCGACUAAUGUUGAAAAAUUAGCGGAUGACUUGUGGCUGGGGGUGAAAGGCCAAUCAAACCGGGAGAUAGCUGGUUCUCCCCGAAAGCUAUUUAGGUAGCGCCUCGUGAAUUCAUCUCCGGGGGUAGAGCACUGUUUCGGCAAGGGGGUCAUCCCGACUUACCAACCCGAUGCAAACUGCGAAUACCGGAGAAUGUUAUCACGGGAGACACACGGCGGGUGCUAACGUCCGUCGUGAAGAGGGAAACAACCCAGACCGCCAGCUAAGGUCCCAAAGUCAUGGUUAAGUGGGAAACGAUGUGGGAAGGCCCAGACAGCCAGGAUGUUGGCUUAGAAGCAGCCAUCAUUUAAAGAAAGCGUAAUAGCUCACUGGUCGAGUCGGCCUGCGCGGAAGAUGUAACGGGGCUAAACCAUGCAC
RNAcentral lists this ribosomal RNA (1151 nucleotides) under Escherichia coli. Its description in RNAcentral is "partial 23S ribosomal RNA". It matches the Rfam family "Bacterial large subunit ribosomal RNA", at positions 1 to 1194 of the family's 2925-position model. The record is from RNAcentral. RNAcentral also lists the same sequence under 1 other name. Lineage: Bacteria; Pseudomonadati; Pseudomonadota; Gammaproteobacteria; Enterobacterales; Enterobacteriaceae.